This 797-nucleotide small RNA is filed under the name Pongo abelii (Sumatran orangutan). RNAcentral describes it as "processed transcript". The record is from RNAcentral. Lineage: Eukaryota; Metazoa; Chordata; Mammalia; Primates; Hominidae.
GGAGACCGGCCGCAUGGACCCAGGGACAGUGGCCACCAUGCGUAAGCCCCGCUGCUCCCUGCCUGACGUGCUGGGGGUGGCAGGGCUGGUCAGGCGGCGUCGCCGGUACGCUCUGAGCGGCAGCGUGUGGAAGAAGCAAACCCUGACAUGGAGGGUACGUUCCUUCCCCCAGAGCUCCCAGCUGAGCCAGGAGACCGUGCGGGUCCUCAUGAGCUAUGCCCUGAUGGCCUGGGGCAUGGAGUCAGGCCUCACAUUUCAUGAGGUGGAUUCGCCCCAGGGCCAGGAGCCCGACAUCCUCAUCGACUUUGCCCGCGCCUUCCACCAGGACAGCUACCCCUUCGACGGGUUGGGGGGCACCCUAGCCCAUGCCUUCUUCCCUGGGGAGCACCCCAUCUCUGGGGACACUCACUUUGACGAUGAGGAGACCUGGACUUUUGGGUCAAAAGGCCUCUCGGCAGCCAAAGCAGGAGCUGGCAGGCGGCUCACCGGUUGAUGAGGAGCUGGGCUUCAGCCGGGGCUGGCAUGUGAAUCCUCUGGGUCCUGGCAGUUCUGAGCACCUGAGCUGAAUCCGGAGGGAAGAGGCUGCUGUGGUGGGAAGAGGCUGGGAGCAAGACCGGGUGCUGGGGCCAGCAGGCUGUGGUCUGAGAGUGCCUGCUAGAGGAGAUCUGUGUUCCCAAGGAGAUGGAGGAAGACCUCGGGUGGGGGUGGUACAGGGAAGGAGAGGACAGGCAGAGGCUGUGGACAGGGAGAUGGGGGAGGGGGGAUGGAGGACUCAAGGGAUGUAGUGGGUGUGGCUU